This 1407-nucleotide ribosomal RNA is filed under the name bacterium NLAE-zl-P514. RNAcentral describes it as "16S ribosomal RNA". It matches the Rfam family "Bacterial small subunit ribosomal RNA". The record is from RNAcentral.
CAUGCAAGUCGAGGGGCAGCAUGAAUAUUGGCUUGCCAAUAUUUGAUGGCGACCGGCGCACGGGUGAGUAACACGUAUCCAACCUUCCGGUUACUCGGGGAUAGGCUUUCGAAAGAAAGAUUAAUACCCGAUGUUGUGUAUCUUUCUCCUGAAAGAUACGCCAAAGGAUUCCGGUAACCGAUGGGGAUGCGUUCCAUUAGGCAGUUGGCGGGGUAACGGCCCACCAAACCUUCGAUGGAUAGGGGUUCUGAGAGGAAGGUCCCCCACAUUGGAACUGAGACACGGUCCAAACUCCUACGGGAGGCAGCAGUGAGGAAUAUUGGUCAAUGGACGGAAGUCUGAACCAGCCAAGUAGCGUGAAGGAUGACUGCCCUCUGGGUUGUAAACUUCUUUUAUACGGGAAUAACAUGAGGUACGCGUACCUUAUUGCAUGUACCGUUAUGAAUAAGCAUCGGCUAACUCCGUGCCAGCAGCCGCGGUAAUACGGAGGAUGCGAGCGUUAUCCGGAUUUAAUUGGGUUUAAAGGGAGCGUAGGUGGGAUAUUAAGUCAGCUGUGAAAGUUUGGGGCUCAACCUUAAAAAUUGCAGUUGAUACUGGUUUCCUUGAGUACGGUACAGGUGGGCGGAAUUCGUGGUGUAGCGGUGAAAUGCUUAGAUAUCACGAAGAACUCCGAUCGCGAAGGCAGCUCACCGGGCCGGAACUGACACUGAUGCUCGAAAGUGCGGGUAUCAAACAGGAUUAGAUACCCUGGUAGUCCCGCACAGUAAACGAUGAAUACUCGCUGUUUGCGAUACACAGUAAGCGGCCAAGCGAAAGCGUUAAGUAUUCCACCUGGGGAGUACGCCGGCAACGGUGAAACUCAAAGGAAUUGACGGGGGCCCGCACAAGCGGAGGAACAUGUGGUUUAAUUCGAUGAUACGCGAGGAACCUUACCCGGGCUUAAAUUGCGCUGGCUUUUACCGGAAACGGUAUUUUCUUCGGACCAGCGUGAAGGUGCUGCAUGGUUGUCGUCAGCUCGUGCCGUGAGGUGUCGGCUUAAGUGCCAUAACGAGCGCAACCCUUAUCUUUAGUUACUAACAGUUUUGCUGAGGACUCUAAAGAGACUGCCGUCGUAAGAUGCGAGGAAGGUGGGGAUGACGUCAAAUCAGCACGGCCCUUACGUCCGGGGCUACACACGUGUUACAAUGGGGAGCACAGCAGGUUGCUACACGGCGACGUGAUGCCAAUCCGUAAAACUCCUCUCAGUUCGGAUCGAAGUCUGCAACCCGACUUCGUGAAGCUGGAUUCGCUAGUAAUCGCGCAUCAGCCACGGCGCGGUGAAUACGUUCCCGGGCCUUGUACACACCGCCCGUCAAGCCAUGAAAGCCGGGGGUACCCUGAAGUACGUAACCGCGAGGAUCUCCUAGG